GGAAAGAAGGUGUGUGCCGCGAGAAUCGGCUGAAAAGCUGAAAUAAUUCUGAGCACUGACUUAUACGAUAUGCAAGUUUGUGUAUCUGAAUAUACCCUAAUAGGGAGUGUCAAAUGUGAGAACAAAAGAAGAGAACAUCAGAGAACAAAAGAAGAGUGAAGGAGAGGUUGUUUGGUUGUUUAUAAAGAACAUUAUUUAUAACGAACGAUUUGGUCGUCGAUGAAGAACAUCAGUGGCUAUAAUCAAUAACAAUACUACUUGGACAGUGCUCGAAAUCGACGUACUCAUUAUCGAAAUAUUGUUAGAAAAGUCUUGAAAUUUGAAAUAGGCUAUUUGAGAUACAUUAAAAAGAGACAAAUAAUUAUAAUGGAAAUACAAAAUUUGUCUGGAAAAGAAGUAGAGAGUAGC
This is a non-coding RNA of Linepithema humile (Argentine ant), 408 nucleotides long. The record is from RefSeq and is a predicted model, not a curated record. Lineage: Eukaryota; Metazoa; Arthropoda; Insecta; Hymenoptera; Formicidae.